Long non-coding RNA from Mus musculus (house mouse), 693 nucleotides. RefSeq annotates it as predicted gene, 40362. The transcript is spliced from 2 exons. NCBI's taxonomy places the organism in Eukaryota, Metazoa, Chordata, Mammalia, Rodentia, Muridae. The record is from RefSeq and is a predicted model, not a curated record.
AGAGGCGGAAGUGCGCCCGAACUGCUCUCACGGGCUUCCCUCCCUAGCCGUAGCACCCGACUCCGGCGAAGGAGUCAGACAUAGCCAGGACUGAGGCGGGAAGAGGGGGAACACGAGGGUUUUGGUGUCGAGGCUGCUAGUUCUCCCCAGAGGCAGCCCUCAGCUGUAGGAAUGAUACUUCUCGCAGUGAGAAAGCAAUAGGAACCAAAGGGAAGCGCGGCAGGCAGUGCUGGAAAUUGAACCCAGGGCCUUGUAUAUGCAAAGCAUUGACUACUGAGCUAAGCCCCAGCCUGUCCAGGGAGGAAAGUGAAUGUUUUCUACAGGAAGAAACACCAUUUGCCAUGAUCUGAUCAAUAUGUUGUUUACAUAUAUUAAAAUAUACAGUACCUUGUAAACAUGUACAAUUAUGUCAAUUAAAAAGCCUUAAUGUUUGAAAAAAGUUGUAUAUGUAUUCAACCCACAGACUUAUCAGUUUUCCUUAAAAAUGCAGUGUAAUUAAUCUCACAACCUGUCCACUGUGUUGGGUACUGUCAUUAAUACAGAGACGAUGUAAAGUCCAGGCUGCGGGGCGUGGCGGUGCACACCUGUAGUUCCUAGGCCGAUCUCUGUGGAUACGGAAGGAUGAUUGCUUUUCUUAGUAUGUUUGCUUCUCUGUUAAUCAUUUCCCACAUUAAAGUAUAAAUUUCAUUAGAA